CAGUCGCCGCGGGAAUACGAAGGGUGCAAGCGUUACUCGGAAUUACUGGGCGUAAAGCGUGCGUAGGUGGUGGUUUAAGUCCGUUGUGAAAGCCCUGGGCUCAACCUGGGAAUUGCAGUGGAUACUGGGUCACUAGAGUGUGGUAGAGGAUAGUGGAAUUUCCGGUGUAGCAGUGAAAUGCGUAGAGAUCGGAAGGAACAUCUGUGGCGAAGGCGACUAUCUGGGCCAACACUGACACUGAGGCACGAAAGCGUGUGGAGCAAACAGGAUUAGAGACCCGCGUAGUCCCUGUCUCUUAUAC
Molecule: ribosomal RNA, 301 nt
Filed under: uncultured bacterium
Lineage: Bacteria
Description: partial 16S ribosomal RNA
Rfam family: Bacterial small subunit ribosomal RNA
Source: RNAcentral